ACCUCGUCUAGGUCUUGUAUUCUGUUUUACUCGUUGCUCGGUCCACUCUCAUUGGUGUACCUCAGGCUGGGUUCUCCGACCUCAAUGGGUAUGACUGUGUUGGUAUUGUAAACCAGUUAUUAUGGUGUCUCACAUGUGCUGGUUUUUGUUGUUCUGUGGUAGGCCCAUAACACCUCUAGUAGAAGUUGCGGCCAUAGCCCUUUGGCAUUC
This 210-nucleotide long non-coding RNA is filed under the name Nicotiana benthamiana. RNAcentral describes it as "long non-coding RNA (NBEN_LNC017238)". Lineage: Eukaryota; Viridiplantae; Streptophyta; Magnoliopsida; Solanales; Solanaceae. The record is from RNAcentral.